AAUAAACUUUAUUUUUUAUGUCCAAUGUUUGACUGUCCGUUUUAUUUAAAAAAAUUAUAAAAAAAAUUAAAAAGAUAAGUCACGCAUAAAGUAUUAAUCAUGUUUUAUCAUCUAACAACAAUAAAAAUACUAAUUAUAAAAAAUUUUCAUAUAAGACAGACAGUCAAACAUUGAUAUGGAAACGGAAACCCACGGUUUGUUUUUUU
Molecule: microRNA precursor, 206 nt
Organism: Oryza sativa Indica Group (long-grained rice)
Lineage: Eukaryota; Viridiplantae; Streptophyta; Magnoliopsida; Poales; Poaceae
Rfam family: MIR812 microRNA precursor family
Source: Rfam